This 30-nucleotide non-coding RNA is filed under the name Homo sapiens (human). The record is from RNAcentral. Lineage: Eukaryota; Metazoa; Chordata; Mammalia; Primates; Hominidae.
UCCAGCUGCACUGACCAGAAAUCCCACCCC